GGCUAAUAUUCCUGUACUUGGUGUUACUGCGAAGGGGGGACGGAGAAUGCUAUGUUGGCCGGGCGACGGUUGUCCCGGUUUACGCGUGUAGGCUGGCUUUCCAGGCAAAUCCGGAAAAUCAAAGCUGAGGCGUGAUGACGCGCCACCACGGUGCUGAAGCGACAAAUGCCCUGCAUCCAGCAAAAGCAUCACAGCAUCAGCUAACACCAAAUCGUACCCCCAACCGACACAGUGGGCCAGGUACAGAAAA
Molecule: ribosomal RNA, 250 nt
Filed under: Escherichia coli
Lineage: Bacteria; Pseudomonadati; Pseudomonadota; Gammaproteobacteria; Enterobacterales; Enterobacteriaceae
Description: partial 23S ribosomal RNA
Rfam family: Bacterial large subunit ribosomal RNA
Source: RNAcentral